UAAAUUGAACUCCUCAUGUGAGAAUUCUCAGGGGUUUUUUUUGCUUUAUUUUACUGUAAUUAUCCAAGAGCAGGCAUAGUAAUAUGACACUGGUUUAAGUAAACGUACUAUUAGUGGGGGAGGAAAGAAUAACUAGCAAGUUCUAUCAGUUAAGAGCUGGAGCAAAGAGGAACAGAAGUGUAGCAGUUUGCAUAAUGUUUUAAGUGAGAUCCUGAAAUCAGUGGUUUGGACGACAGAACAUAGAUUACAAUCAUCUCACUGUGGUGGUUUUAUCUGUGACAGCAUGUGCUAUAUAAAUGAAUGGCCAAAAAGGUUUCUGAAAACAUUUAUUCAACAGUACAGUGAUUAUCAGGUUAAUCUACUAAUUGACAAUGAAGCAGAGAAGGAUUACCUUUAUGAUGUGCUGCGGAUGUACCACCAGUCUAUGAAUCUCCCAGUGUUUGUGGGGGACCUAAAACUUGUGAUUAACGAACCAAGCAGGUUGCCUCUAUUUGAUGCUAUCCGCCCACUUAUCCCGUUAAAACACCAGGUCGAAUAUGAUCAGCUUACACCCAAAAGAUCACGAAAGCUGAAAGAAGUGAGAUUGGAUCGUAUGCAUCCUGAAGGACUUGGAAUAAGUGUGAGAGGUGGACUGGAAUUUAGCUGCGGCCUCUUUAUCUCCCAGUUAGUUAAAGGAGGACAGGCAGACAAUGUUGGACUUCAGGUUGGAGAUGAGAUAGUGCGUAUAAAUGGAUAUUCCAUUUCAUCAUGCACACAUGAAGAAGUCAUAAACCUAAUUCGUACAAAGAAAAUAGUGUCCAUAAAAGUAAGACAUAUUGGCAUGAUACCUGUCAAAAGUUCAGCAGAUGAACCCCUUAAAUGGCAAUACGUGGACCAGUUUGUGUCAGACUCUGGGGAAGGAAAGGGCAGUGUUGCUGGUCUUGCUUCUUCUGGAGGGAGAGACAAUAAAGAGAAGAAAGUCUUCAUUAGCUUGAUUGGUACAAAGGGCAUGGGAUGCAGUAUUUCCAGUGGACCAACACAAAAACCGGGCAUUUUUAUCAGCAAUGUUAAGCCAGGUUCACUUUCAGCAGAGGUGGGAUUAGAGGUCGGUGAUCAGAUUGUUGAAGUAAAUGGAGUGGACUUCUCUAAUGUGGAUCAUAAAGAGGCUGUCAGAGUGCUCAAAAGUAGUCGUACUUUGACGAUCUCUGUGGUAGCAGGCGCUGGAAAGGAGCUGUUCAUGACUGAAGAAGAAAGGCAGAGAGAAGCGCGUCUCCGUGAGCAAGAACGCCAGGAGUUAAUGCAUCAGAAGCGACUUGCACUGGAGACUAACAAAAUCAUCAAAGAGCAGCAAGAGAAAGAGAGAUUAAGAAAACUGGAGAUUUCCCAGAAGGCUGCAGAGGAGGAAGAGCGAUAUCGCAGAGAAAUAGAGCAGAUAACAGCAGAAGAAGAGAAAUUUAAAAAGGAGUGGGAAGAAGACUGGGGUCCUAAAGAACCUCCCAAAUCACUAAAAACUGUAACAGCAGAAGUGCAUUCUGCCCCUCGUUCCAAACACAAAACUUUUGGAUGGUUUUAUCGGUAUGAAGGAAAAUUUCCCACAAUCCGCAAGAAAGGAAAAGAAAGAAAGAAGUCAAAAAGUGACAGUUUUUGCGAACAGAAGAAGAAUAAAAAGGAAAUGGAGUUUGAGCAAAAACUUGCCAAAGAGAAAGAAGGAAUGUUGGAGAAAGAAAAGCAGCUGAAAAUAAAUCGUCUCGUGCAAGAGGUAUCUGAGACAGAACGAGAAGACCUGGAAGAAUCAGAAAAGGUGCAGCACUGGGUGGAAAGACUUUGUCAGACACGGUUAGAACAGAUUUCCUCUGUGGAGAAUGAAUCGCCUGAGUUGGCAAGUGGACGUCCUUCUGCUUCUCCUUCUGCCACAUCAAUGCGGCGUUUUGCCGGUGGCCUGCAGCUUCACACCACAGAUCUUGAUGAUAUAAACUUAGAUGAAGUUGACAAGCCUAAACAACGUGUGGCACCACCUCCGCCACCACCACCCACCGUUACUCCAGCAUCAUCAACUCAUCUACUUCCUACACCAAAUGUUCCACUUCCAAGAGGUCCAGCCCUGGCAGUAACACCAGCUUCCCAGGUUGUAAGAAACACCUCCCAUGUCGGCAAAGUAUCUUCUGUGUCAAGCAAUCCGCUGCAACUUGCUCCAAGUCCACCUACCCAACGACAUCCAGGGGUACCAAUAGUCUCUAAACCAGUCAUGCUGCAUCCUGACCCAAACUUUAUGGUCAGGCCAACAAUCAAAUCAGAGGCCCUGCCACAAGAGAUGUUUAAAAGGAUGGUGGUUUACAAUUCAUCAUUUAGAUCUAACAAAAAACAAGGCUUCCAGAAAUACGUGGAAGAUUUUGAUCCAUAUUCAAUGUUUACCCCAGAGCAGAUUAUGGGAAAAGAUGUACGGCUAUUACGAAUUAAAAAGGAAGGAUCAUUAGAUCUUGCAGUCGAGGGAGGAAUUGAUUCUCCAAUUGGAAAGAUAGUCGUGUCUGCCAUCUAUGAGGAUGGUGCUGCAGAUAAACAUGGAGGCAUAGUGAAAGGGGAUGAAAUAUUAGCUGUAAAUGGCAAGAUAUUAAUUGACAGCAGGCUGUCAGAAGCACAGGCAACUCUAGCAAAAGCUUGGAACAUGGGUGGGGACUGGAUUGACUUAGUCAUUGCGGCAUCACCUCCAAAGGAAUAUGAUGAUGAAAUCCCUACUAUUCCCUCAUCAACAGUCAGUCCCAACACACAGAGAAAGGUUUUUGAAGGCAGUGCACCAGUGUACAGACAAGGGUAUCUCCUGCAGCUGUAGCAACUGCAGUGUUCCCUCAUGGUGAAUAGCCAGACCUGGGUUAACAUGACUGUCCAUUGACAUUUUUUUAAAGAAGGCUACACUGGAGAAAUGAAGUCUUUCCCCUGCAGAAACCUGCUGCUCUGUAAAUUGAUAUGAAAUCAAUAACCAUAUGAAAUACAUCUUUAUUUAAAGAAACGUGAAUAAUCAGACCUGUAAAUUGAACUAGAGACCAGAUUCUUCGGGUAAUUUGAGUAAUUUCAAAUUCUACAGGCAUACAGCAAGAGAUUUUUGCAAGAUCAUUGAAAAGGACUGCCAGUGAGCAUAGUUUGGUCUGUGAGAACUGAGUCUAUAUUUUGCUAUUUUGGGGGGCCAAAUUUUGAAAGUUAUCUUCCCAUUUUCUUGGAAAUAGACACUAAAAUGACAAAUGAAGAUAGAACACAGAUGUCUGUUCCCACAUGCAACACUUGUGAUUACACGUUCACAGGCCAGUUUGGGUGUGAAAAGGAUUAUAUUUUUACUCCGUACAUAGUGAUUUUCCCUGGGAAAGCGGGAAUGUAUAUAGGUAACUUCUGUUCUCGCUCGUAUUCUUGUAGCUCUCUUAAUGUCCAUUUCUAUUGCUCGGUUGUGAGUUGUUUUGAGUAUAAAAACCCUGCCAGCAGAAGAACCAGUAACACUAGGAGUGCUAGCAUUAUAAGGAGUAAUUUUGGUGAUGCUUAUACAGUAUAAGGAGUCUUCUCUACCAGCAAAGUAAAUAGCUAGCAAGUAGUCCAGAUAAAAUCAUUAUGUGUAGUCACAGUUAUGCUACCAAGUAUUUGUAUUGAUGGCAAAAAUUACUCCCUCAUAUAGUCAUGCAUGGAAAAUUUGGGUGUGAUUCAGUCUGCAGUUAUGUACUUUGUUCUCAGUGAGUCUAUAUGUGUGACUAAACUGUGCAGGAAGUCACUAAGUCUAAGGUUUCACUCUUGGUGACUAUAUGUCUUCUGAUAAGCAUAUUCCUCAAGACCAUAAAAUCUAUACUAACCUAGCUUUAAAUAAGUAUGAUUACAGUUGUAGACUUUUUUUUUUUUUUUGGUAUUAUCAAGAUACCUCCUUAGAAAUGUCAUUGUCUUCCUUUCUUCCUUGUAUCUGCCAGUUUGUAUUCUGAUUUUUAUAUUGUGUUUAGAUGUUUCUUAUCUGGACUAAUGAGAGCCAGUUUAUAGUUCUUUGGCAUAUCAAAUUCCCACUGAAGUCUUGUCUUUUCAGGGUUUGGAAACUCUCCGUAAUACAGAAAAAUGACAAUUAUGUUCAUGAGAACUCUGUACUUAUACGGAGAUGAUUAAUUACAUUGACUUUCUUCAUUUGUCGUAUUGUUCCAGUAUGCCAAUUAAUGUGUCUGGCAGGGUACACAUGUUAGAAUGUUUUAAAUUUUAACUCUUGCAACUAAUACAGAAAUAAAAUUGCAUUUGCC
Athene cunicularia (burrowing owl) is the source of this 4232-nucleotide RNA transcript. It is a transcript of the gene named USH1 protein network component harmonin, with no coding region annotated. The transcript has 28 exons. Lineage: Eukaryota; Metazoa; Chordata; Aves; Strigiformes; Strigidae. The record is from RefSeq and is a predicted model, not a curated record.